RNAcentral lists this ribosomal RNA (376 nucleotides) under uncultured bacterium. Its description in RNAcentral is "bacterial SSU rRNA". It matches the Rfam family "Bacterial small subunit ribosomal RNA", at positions 521 to 896 of the family's 1533-position model. The record is from RNAcentral.
UAAUACGUAGGGUGCGAGCGUUAAUCGGAAUUACUGGGCGUAAAGCGUGCGCAGGCGGUUUUAUAAGCCAGAUGUGAAAUCCCCGGGCUUAACCUGGGAAUGGCAUUUGGGACUGUAAGGCUAGAAUCUGGCAGAGGGGGGUAGAAUUCCACGUGUAGCAGUGAAAUGCGUAGAGAUGUGGAGGAAUACCGAUGGCGAAGGCAGCCCCCUGGGCUAAGAUUGACGCUCAUGCACGAAAGCGUGGGGAGCAAACAGGAUUAGAUACCCUGGUAGUCCACGCCCUAAACGAUGUCAACUGGUUGUUGGGGAAUUGAUUUCCUUAGUAACGAAGCUAACGCGUGAAGUUGACCGCCUGGGGAGUACGGUCGCAAGAUUA